This 253-nucleotide ribosomal RNA is filed under the name uncultured bacterium. RNAcentral describes it as "partial 16S ribosomal RNA". It matches the Rfam family "Bacterial small subunit ribosomal RNA", at positions 524 to 776 of the family's 1533-position model. The record is from RNAcentral.
UACGGAGGGCGCAAGCGUUGUUCGGAAUUACUGGGCGUAAAGCGCGCGUAGGCGGCCAGGUAAGUCGGAUGUGAAAGCCCGGGGCCCAACCCCGGAACUGCACCCGAUACUGCCUGGCUGGGGUCCCGGAGAGGAUGGCGGAAUUUCCGGUGUAGAGGUGAAAUUCGUAGAUAUCGGAAGGAACACCAGUGGCGAAGGCGGCCAGCUGGACGGUGCCUGACGCUGAGAUGCGAAAGCGUGGGGAGCAAGCAGU